UAUAUUUAAGUGUAAGAUGCACAUGAAUUUUUGAUAUUCAAAGGAAUAGUUUAAUUCUAUUAAAUAUAA
RNAcentral lists this transfer RNA (69 nucleotides) under Comicus campestris. RNAcentral describes it as "tRNA-Gln". Lineage: Eukaryota; Metazoa; Arthropoda; Insecta; Orthoptera; Schizodactylidae. The record is from RNAcentral.